Procambarus clarkii (red swamp crayfish) is the source of this 859-nucleotide non-coding RNA. The record is from RefSeq and is a predicted model, not a curated record. Lineage: Eukaryota; Metazoa; Arthropoda; Malacostraca; Decapoda; Cambaridae.
CAGCUGACUGGUGGACGUAAACACGGACGUCGCGCGACCUGGAUUGAUGAAGAAAAGGACUUUGGAGUCAGAAUCCAUCAUUCACUGAAAGUUUCAUAACAAGUGGGAGUGACAGUAAAAAAAAAGCUAACCAAACCCUUGGAAUAAUCAAGCAUACCUUUACCUUUAAGAAAAAAGAAGGUACCUACUUGCUGCUAGAUAAACAUAUGCAUCAGGUAAAAGAAAUGGGCCCAACUGCAUCUGUCCUAUUGCAGGAAUCGAACCUCAGUUGUGAAACAAUGACAUAGACUUAUUACAAUAAUCAUGGAGUGUUACUGUACUGUAGUAAGUUGGCUGGGAGGAUUCAAUGUGUUUAUUUGUGUCAGCAUUGAUUAUUUUAUGCAAUGUAUUUACUGUACUUCUUGAUUUUUGGGGUAAUAUUAAUAUCAGAUUUGAAAAUACUGUAGCUAAACUGUUUAGCUCUGUGCUCAUUAUUAUAUAUUAUUAUUACUACAUACAAACAAUAUUGAUUAUUGACCAACUUGUAAAACUGCUGAUAUUCACCCAGUAUAAACUUGAAGAAAAUUGUAGUCUUCUGUUUAUUUAGUUAAAAUUACUCCUGCUGUUGUUUCAAUUUCUACUGUUCCAUUUCAUGUUCCAUCUAAUUAUUAUCAUUCUUUGUUAUUUUUUUCCAUUUUUCAAUUCAAUUUAUCCUUUGAUCUCAAUUAGUUUUAAGUUUUAGUCAGUGUUUUUCCCACAUAUUGCCUGAAACGCUGUGUGUAUUAGUGGCUUUAGCCAUAGUAUGUACUAGCUCUAUUUAGAAAUCCAACAUUCUGUUUGUAACUCAUUUUGAAUGUAUGUACAUACUUUCACCUGAAUA